Molecule: RNA transcript, 6267 nt
Organism: Dreissena polymorpha
Lineage: Eukaryota; Metazoa; Mollusca; Bivalvia; Myida; Dreissenidae
Exons: 8
Source: RefSeq, a predicted model, not a curated record
AGCUAAACAACUUCAUUGUAUACACAUAAAACACACAUAGUGCCUGUUCAUUAUUUAGGUUGCACUACCUUUAAAAGGCCGCUGUGGUAUGAAACGGUGUCACAAUACUCAUGUAUACAACAAUCAAAUGUUUACUUAAUUAAGUAAGAAAGCGCUUACACUAAUGUUUUCGUUCAUUGGAACUCAGCCGAAAUACUUUACUUAAAAGCAUUGAGGUUUUAAGGUCCAUGUACCGGUGUUGAAUGUACGUGGAUUAUUUAACAUUGAUGUGAGUCAUAGAUUGGAACAACUAUUUCGAACCUUAAACGGACGUCGAAUGCUGUACAUCAGUCUCCUGUCCCGGCAGUUAGGGUUCACUCUGACCUAUACCGGUUCCAAGCUCGAGCGCACCGAGCAUGGCUUGGAGAAGGAAAUACGCAGGGAAAGCUGCGCCCCACCACGGAAGAAUACGAUUACGAGACUGCGCAAUGACGGGGAGUUAAUCCUGCACAGUAAGGACGUGCUGAUGUUGAUCGUGGUGUUGAAUUUAGUGGAUUGUUGCCUCGUCCUCGGAGAGCUGAUUCUCGAUAUCCACUAUAUAACAGGUUCGAAAAUGUAUUAAACUAUAAAUCCGCCUUGAAACUUAUGUGAUGCAUUUUUUAAGACAUAAAACGUUCGAAAAAAAACUCCAUUAAAUACCUGAAUUUAAUUUUCGCUAUGUACAACCAUCAACAACCAAAAACGUAUGUGUCGUUAUUGUAUAUACCGGCACAUACACGAUGUAGAUGCAUUCAUCUUCCAUAAAAAGUAUAUGGUAGAUUAUUAAAUAUGUACAAUGUUCGGAAAUGUAUUCAUUCGCCGUAAAACUCGCGUGUUGUAUGUGUUACUAUAUACAAUAAUCAAAAAUGAAUUCAUCCGCCUUUUUUUCCUAAAACUAAAGGUGUUUUGAUAUAAACGAUUGAACUCCCAUGACAGUUAUAUUAACGCCGGAUAGACAUUCACUGAUAAACUGAUUAGUUACGAGGAUUUCGUUGCAAUUUUAUUGUGCGAAGCCAUGUUGUGUAUGUUUGCUCGUGCAUGUCCAUAUACAGUGUACGUGUAUCUGUUUGUACCUGCAGGGUCUUGACAACGGGUAUAUUCUACAAUGGGUUCGUUUUGGGAAAAUAGGGUUGAAUUCAUGUGCGUUGAGCUCUGUCCAAGUUCAGCAUUUAAAGGAAGCCUUUGCUUAGCGAAAUUCAAGUUUAAACUUAAAUGGUUCGUGUACUGUUUUCUGCAGUAAUUACAGAACACAUAUUACAUAUCAAGGUUCAAAUCCUUCGCUGGUUAAGUAGGAUCGAUCAGUUUGACACUAAAAUGGUUCCAAACUUCAGAUUGUUUCUUAGAUUUUUUAGGAAAGGGAACAAAUUCUUCUCUGACCGACAUAUUGAAUGAAGUGCCUAUACACAUACGUAUUACGAUCGCUGAUUGGUUUGUUUUAUCCAAUAAAAAAGCUCGUUUCAGCAGGGGUAAACAGAAAUGGUCUAGUAAAAAAAAAAUAUCGAAUGAUCGGUACGGUCAAAAAUUCGUCAACUUUUCGUCGACUCGACUUUUUCAUCGUCAUCGUCACGCCAGCAGCAAUUCGUUGAAGACGCGUCGACCAUCUGAUUAAUCAACUCACCACUAGUAAGCGCUUAUAUUGUAUUAAUAUUCGCUCUAUAGCUCGACUAAACUCGCUGCGAACUUGUUUAGCGGUUCACACAAUUACAGCUUCUGCUAAGAAAAUUCGGAACGAGUAAAGUCGAGAUAAGAGCGAAUAUUAAUACGAAAUAAACGCUUUCUUUCUGUUACGGCUGGAAAGUUAGCGCCAUUUAAACAAUUAAUACAACUUAUUAAGGGUAUACAACGGCGAAAAAUACCUGUCUCGGCAUGGACGUCGCAAUCGUGUUUUUCAAGUGGAUACGGGUACAAAAGUAAUGUAUGCAAUAACAACUUCAAUAACAUAGAAGUGCUGAUCACCCACCGCUGCCACCGCACCCCACAGCCAGCAACAUCGUACAUAAUAUACCGAAGACGGUGUAUGAUACCCGGCACACCCAUGGUGGUUCCCACGGUACAGCGGGUCACUCGGUGUGGGAGGACAUGGCGCACGGCCUUCACAAUGCCAGUAUCACGAUCCUCUGAAUCCUGUUUUUUGAGAGCAUCCUAAAAAAUAUUUGCAUGGGAAAAGAAUUCUUGUCCAAACAAUUGCAGGGAAGUGUUUACGUUUUUCAAUUUAUGUGUAUUUUUAUAGCAUGCAUUGAUGGUGUUUCUGUUUGGCACACGGGGGCAUUAUUCUCGAAAGCGUUCAGUACGUACCAAUGUGCAAUUGCGCUCAGAAACUUAUAUAUUUUAUUAUAAACAAAGGGCAAUAACUCAUUGAAAUACUGCAAUCGCAAAAUCUUGACAAUAUUCAUUGAAGCGCUCGGAGAUAUUUAUUUUUGAACAAAUUUGACAAAAAUUGAAUCUAAAAUUGAUUACAAGUUUCGCGUGGAAGCUUGUAUAUGUACAUUUAAACAACUGGCAAUUACUCCUUAAAACGCAAUCGCAAAAUCUUGACAGUACUUGCUGUAGCUAUUUGAGAUAAUUAUUAUAUAUACAUUUGACAUAAUUAUACGCAAAAUGUAUAAGAAAUUGUGCUUGCUCGCACACACGCACACACGGACGGAACUAUGCCAACCAUUGCUAUAUCCGUAGGUAUUCCGGCGGUAGAUAACAAACAGUAAGCAAGCUUUAAAGAUAUACAUAUGUUGUACAUCGGACAUCUAGCUUCAUUCGGAGAAUAAUGCUAAUCUGCUUAUCUUUUCCGCUUAAAAUAACAAAAUAAUUAAUUAAAACUUGGUGUUAACAGCGAUGACAGAGUAAGCAUUUUUUAAAUUUUACUUGCCGCGGAUUCUGACAUUUCAUUUAUUUUUCAAAAUGAACGAACUCGUGUUCAGGGUGCAAUGACCACAAGGUCUAGUUAAAAACAUGUGUUUACGAUCAUCAUGAAGUACGUUGACUCUGUUACCUUGCUUACCUUGCUUAAAGUGUCGUCCCUGAUUAGCUUGCGCAGUCCUCACAGGCUAAUCAGGGACGACACAUUCCACUCAGACAUAUUUAUCCAUCAGAAGAGAUUUACACAGUACAUGAAAGGUGAAAGUGUCGUCCCUGUUUAACGUGAGCACUCCGCACAGGCUAAUCAGGGACGACACAUUCCACUCAGACAUAUUUAUCCAUCAGUACAUGAAAGCUGAAAGUGUCGUCUCUGAUAAGCAUGUUUGGACUGCAGAGGCCAAGUGAGACGACAUUUAGCGAACAUGCAUUAAGCCCCAUUUUCCCAAACCGCGGCUCAUAUCUGUUUAAUUGCGUUUAGCUGAAUACGAACAAAUCACUGUUCAGUUGUUUAAAUUAGUUGCAUGGAAACCAUUAUUGUUAUGAACAUAUCCUUUUAAGAUCAAGACCGUGUAACUCAUUGGAUUAACACAUACACAGCUUAGUAGCAACAAUAAAACAUUGUUGUUAUUUAUAUUGUUUGGUGCGCGUGAUUUUGUGUAAUGUGUGCGUGUGUCACUUUGCGGUUGUGUGUAAACUGCGUUGUCUGACUAUCCGGUUACUACAGAAGUGUGUACAUGCUGAAGACCGAACCAACUUUAAUAACUUUUCUUGAAAACCCCAAAUGUCCAAAUUAUAGACAUAACUAAAAAUACCUAACUUUCAGUCUAGUUAAGAUCAUGAGGUAUGAUUGCUUGUAAACACUCCGAUGCCCUCACUUAUUGCAGCCUCGGGCAUCCAAAGAUCUAAUGAGUGUUACCACAGUAAGUGAACCCAAAACCUUUUGGCCGUAAGGCGGUUACCAUAUCCAUUACGCCACUGCAACCUAUGUAUGUCCGCUUCCAGGUAGAACACUGGUUCGAUACAAAUAGCGGGAACGUUCGUUAGCUCUUCUACAAAAGCCUUUGGAUCAAAGGAAUUGGAUUGAAGCAAUCGAGCUUAAAUUAAAUAGGUUAAACGUAAAUAUCAAAAGACACAAUCACGGACAUUCUACCGUCCAUUCGACUGCCGUACGCUUGCAGGUCUGACAGUGGCGGUGCGGGAUCACGAACACAUCCGGCUUAAGAUGCUGUACAAGGAGGAGAAGAUGAUUUCAGCGCAACUUGAGAGGCUGGAGGAAACCAAAAAUUGAUGGGACGAAGCAGUCGUCCAUUACCACAAUAACAUCCCGUGCACUAUGAGGCAUGCUUCCGGGAAUCAUCAUGGACCCGGGCGACAAAAAAAAACAACGCAUUUUUUAACAGAAUGCGAAUGAGCAUGCAAAAGAUGACGCAUCGAAGCCAAAAAACGCCACAAUUAACGCUCUCGUUUCGGCCACCGCCGUCUUAAAGCUAAUCAGAAUUUAAGAAAACUUCUGUCCCAGUAAUAAAUCGUGACAUUAUUGACGAAAGCGUCAAAUCCGAUGAUGAAGAUUCGGCAGAUUUGCAGGAAACAGUAACCGGAAGUCGCUCGAAUGUUAGCGGCAACGGCAGUACGUUCUACUAGAAGUCGCGACACUCCAUCCAAUCGGAUCCGGAUCAUGGAGUUCAGAACUCAUAGGAAGGAACAUAGGAAGGUUUGCCUCUCUAAAGCGCUUGUCGUUUGACCACAUGAAGUUCGACCAAUUUUGACUCAUCAGACAUCCGUGUGUUCGUAAUACAGCGACGCGGUCGAGAAUUAAGAAACACAAAAUGACAAUAAUGUAACUGACCCCACAAAUCCGUUAAAAUGUUACAUUGUGUAAACUAAUACAUCGGUGAAUUAUUUAAAUCGGUGCUUAGUGACGUGUCAACGUGAUAUCACGAGUUGUGCUAACAACGUGAUUAAUCUAGGGUCAUACUAUUUUAUGUUCUUGUUUCGGUCUGGAGGCCGUAAUACAAAAACAUUGUACGACACAUUUACUUGACGACGCAUCAACUUUAAAACACAUUUACUGUUCGAUAUAUUUACUUUGCGACACGUUGACUAAAUGACACAUUAUUUUUCGAUACAUUUACUUUACGACACAUUAACUAUAUGACAAAUUUACGUCACUACACAUUUACUUAACGAUACAUUUUAGGGGAAUCAUACAUUCUCUGCCCCAACACAGAUAAGUACAUAUAUGCUUUAUCAUUUUCUUUGACAUUUUCAUAAUGCCCUUCGUUUUGAGAACACAUUGAUGAUAAAUCUGUAUUUGAGACCCGCUCUGUUAAAACGUGGCUUAAUGCGUAAAAUGUCGUGCCACACGAGCCUCUUUGAAUCGCAUAUACUACUCAGGGAGCCGUUUCAUCAACGAUUUACGACUAGUUGUAAAUUACGAUUUACAUAAAUUACGAUGUUUCAAUAAAAUCGCGUUUCAUCAAGCAAAUCGUAAAUUAUAAUUACACAAAUUUCAUACAUAAAUAUACGACUGGGUAAGGGCACUCGUAAAUUAACGUAAUGGCGGUCUUUUUUGUCAUACACGAUGACAGGAGACGAAAAAUUACCAAUGCCAAGGCUUUUUAGGGAGAGAAUUGUUCUCGAAAACCUAAGAGAUGAGAACAUUGCUUCGAUAUAUCGUCUAAGUAAAGGCGGAAUAGAGCGAUUGUUGGUUUUGAUCGAAGAAGACAUAGCACCAACUAGUAUAAUUAUAAAAUUGUAUUUAUUUUCAAAUAGCAAAUAAGUAGAAUUUAACCCAAAAACUUACGAGUAGUUACCCUUUGUUUACUUAGCAUUUGACAACUAGGAUUUUGCAAAAAGGUUGAAAAAUAAGUCAUUGUUGUAUAUUUUCUUAAUAAAAGCAUUCGAUGAUUACCGAUUUUGGCAUAUUGCAUAUUGCCAAGGGAGAUGUUUACUGAGGAUUCCAUGCCAUUAAUGUGCAGGCUGUUGCUGACGCCAGCAUGAGCAAUAUCUGAGCACCAAUGAUGAGGGUCAUCUGCUGGGAGAUAGUGGAUAUCCGUUAAGGACUUACCUGAUGACCCCUUAACCUCAUCCCUCCCAUGCUGCGGAACAGGCCUACAAUGACCAUCUAUGUAGAGGAUAUCUGCAUGCCACUGGUGGAUGUUGGCCUUUCAAGUCCAAUAAGUGCUGUGAAAUAUCAACUGUGUACAUGCCCCUGCAUAACCUGUGUCUGGAUUCAAACAUUCCACUGAUAGAGGAAUUGGUUGGAAACGUGAUGGAACCGGAAGUUAUGAACAACACACCAGUACAUCGAGCAGCAUGUGAUAAGAGGCAGCAGCUGAUCAAACUGUUUCAUAAAAAAUGUCAAAAAAUUUUAGUUAUAAAUGUUAUAAAGUGAUA